This is a long non-coding RNA of Seriola aureovittata, 3146 nucleotides long. RefSeq lists it as uncharacterized. Lineage: Eukaryota; Metazoa; Chordata; Actinopteri; Carangiformes; Carangidae. The transcript has 4 exons. The record is from RefSeq and is a predicted model, not a curated record.
AUGGCGGCAGAGAAUGCUGCAGUAAUGAGUCCUACAACUCGGAAAUUAGUUAGCCUUUUAGCACUUUGGGUUCCCUCGUCUCGAGAGCAUUUUGAAAUAAUUGGCAUGUGGUUAACUCAAGCUCAAGAUAUGUACGACAUAUACCUGUUAUAUAUAGAGACUAUGGUCAGUACAUAUCCCAGUCGAGGUUUCUUUAAAUCAGUUAGGAUAUUGCAAUAUUCUACGCACGCGCAGACUUGUGUGUGAAAACCAGAAGGAACCAGAAGCAAGUAAACCAGUAAAUUACAAUGAUUUAUCGUCUCUGUGUAAGAUCUGCUGUAAGUUUGAGAAGUUUUAGACCGAAUAUUGUUACACAGAUAGAGCGGCGCCUUUCACGAAUAACUCAGUACGUAGGUGGUGUGCGUAGCGGGAGAGAGAGCGGUGAGGCUGGCGAUCGGAGCAGAAGUUAGCUAGUUAGCUUAGCUAGUAGUUAGCAUUAUAGCUGUGAACCUACAGUUUUCAUGUUUGUGCACUUUAGGCUGUUUGUCAGUAAAUAAAUUCCCUCCUCACGACCCAUGUUCCCGCAUCUCCCCCGUGCUUGCCAACUACAGUCCUGAGUCCAGACUACGAGCCAGGGAAGGUUAACAACAUUCAGACAGCCAGGAAGGAGAAAGGUGAAGUUUUCCAGGCAGAGAGCAGCAAGAUCAUGAGACAGGACAGGCCCUGAAUUUAAUUUGCUACUACUACUGUCAUGAAAAGUUGCAACCAUAUGGAUCAUUAUCACCGUCUACUGCUGAGUCCUGGUGUUCCUGUUAUCAAUCCAGUGUCAUUUAGAACAAAUUGAGUUUCUGGUAUGGAUCGGGAAAUGACACACCAUUGGAGAAGAAGUCGCUUUCAUCUUCCUGCAGUAUCCCAUUACCAUCCCUGGCUCCAUGUUUUGUCAGCGAUCAGUAACUAAAAUACUCAUAUACACUGCUCUUAAUCAUACUGGUCUCCAAACAGUCCCUGACCUCAGCAAAGCAGGACACUUCUUCCUGUGUGCACAGAGAAGUCAAUUGCAGGUUACCGGUCUGGAGGUAAGUCUGACAGCGUCAGAAAUUUUAAGUUCCCUUUCUUAUCAGAGAUCCUACAUUGAUGUGAUUGGUAAGAGGAUUUACUUGCAUGGAAAAAGUACAGAAAUUAACAGGUAAAACACUGCUUGAGACCUUUUAUGACUUUGGUUGGGAUGAGGAAUUACUUAUGAGGAAAAACUGAACUAAAUUGAAACAUUAACAGAGAUUCAGAGAGCAGCAGGAGAUAUCGGACACACCAGACUCUUAUGUGCAUACCAAAUGGACACCACAACCCUGGUCGAAAAAGCUUGCACAACGACAAGUAUAAGAUACUAGUAUAUAAAUAUUCGUCAUUCCCUCACAAUCAAAAGCCCUACUCCACUACUUCAAGUAAUUCACGUUACUUCAAGACAAAAUUUCAUCAGAGAAAAUAAAGGAGUUUGUGGAUAUCUUGCUGGACUCUCUCUCUUCCCCUAGUGGUAAGGAGGGACCUUUUCACCCACGUUCAGUGACUAAAUUGUGAACUGAUGAUGGUUGCCUGGCUCCCGUGGCAGCUAGCUGCAGCUUGUUGCCUGGCCUUGGCUAGCUGGCUCCCCCACUCCAGCAGACUAAUUGUAUGAGUUGAUGAUUUCAGAAAUUAGUUAAGCAAAGCUCAAAAAUGUGAAAUAACACUUGUAUUGAACCCAAUGAAAACAGGCUAAAUAGGUCUCGCACAGAGAGAGAAAACCUUGAAGACAACAUAGUACAAAUAUCUUGAAUAAAACCACUGAAUGUAAUACAUUUUCUCUCUCUCUUUCUCUCUCUUUGCAUACAAUAGAAUAGUUUGUAUGAUUUUGUCACCUAUUUGCAAAAAUGUGCCCAUGAUUUCAAACAAUGAAUUCAAAUAGUGGAGAAAAAUUGUAAUAUGGAAGAAUAAAUGAAUCAGUCUACAGUUAAAAUGUAAUCAGGAGAAUAUUCCUGAUAAGAUGGUUAUUAAUCUUUUUUUCCUUGUUUGUGGGGACAGUCUGUGAGAAAGCCAUCCCAUGAGGCACAGAUGGUCUCCUCUUUGGACAAAGCAUAUUACUAUAUAUGCAGUGUGUGAUAUUGAAAGGGAUUUGUUGGUAUAGGGUAUUUACUGAAAUAAAUUCAGUCAUAAUGCCACAGUGUGACCUGACCCAAUACCAAUGUUGGGCCACUUCUUUCAGUAUCAUGCAGUUUCCUCUUUGAGAGCUCUCUCAGCUGUAACGUAGAGUUAGUUUCUUCUUUGAGAAAGUUUAUGUUUCUGAAAAGACUGUCUACGCAGCUUUUGUUGUGAUGCUUUUUGACCCUGUUACUGAGCACAAUUAGCACAAUUGUAAAAAAAAAAAAAAAAAAAAAAAAAGGUAGGCCUACUAGUAACAUGUAUAGUUGUACUGCAUUGGUUGUUUCCAUACAUGUAUUUGUACAUCAGAGGUUUGAGUAUAAUUGAAGCUCAUGUAAAUAGCCUCUGCCAUAACAGAGAAACAUUUGCAACAACCUGGAAAGUUUAUUCCAAAGGUUGCAAAUAAACAUUCAAACAACAAAUGUUGUCACAGUUGUUGACACAACUUUCGGGUUGCCAGGUUAUGGAAAAUCCACCUCCAGUAUUAUGUUUGUCUUUUUAGUUCUUUAAUUCAUUGGGGUGACCUCUCCAAGCUCCAAAUGUCUACUGGAAAAGGGCUGCAGGACAUUUGAACCAAAAUCAAUUUGUAAACGUCUUGUUAAGAGAACACAACUGCAGACUGUUUAUAAUCUUACAAAGUUUUCAAUAAAAUUAAAAAACAAACAAAAACAAACUAUACAUUAUCAGCUUUACUGCUUACUUUUUGCUGUGUCUCAAAACAACUGCACUAAAACAACACGCAGCUAUGAUCUGCAUGGCAAAGAGUGCAUUUUACUGUGAUUACGAAGACAGCUCUUUAAAUUCCGCUGUCACUUCUUUUUUUUUCUUUUUUUUUUUUCAAUGUCUGCCACGGACAGUUAUGCUCUGUAAAGCUCAACGGUGAGCACUGCACAGGUUCCGGGUUGUAAACCAAUAGAGAACAACGCGAAAUGAACUUGAAGUUCACCGAUUUUGUCUUCAAAAUAAAAGCACCAAACUCUUUUAUGCUUGGUGUU